Molecule: ribosomal RNA, 462 nt
Filed under: uncultured bacterium
Lineage: Bacteria
Description: partial 16S ribosomal RNA
Rfam family: Bacterial small subunit ribosomal RNA
Source: RNAcentral
GACGAACGCUGGCGGCGUGCUUAACACAUGCAAGUCGAGCGGAAAGGCCACUUCGUUGGUACUCGAGCGGCGAACGGGUGAGUAACACGUGAGUAAUCUGCCCCUCACUUUGGGAUAGCCACCGGAAACGGUGAUUAAUACCGGAUAUGACCAUAUGUCGCAUGGCGUGUGGUGGAAAGUUUUUCGGUGAGGGAUGUGCUCGCGGCCUAUCAGCUUGAUGGUGAGGUAAUGGCUCACCAUGGCUUCGACGGGUAGCCGGCCUGGGAGGGUGACCGGUCACACUGGGACUGAGACACGGCCCAGACUCCUACGGGAGGCAGCAGUGGGGAAUAUUGGACAAUGGGCGGAAGCCUGAUCCAGCAACGCCGCGUGAGGGAUGACGGCCUUCGGGUUGUAAACCUCUUUCAGUACCGACGAAGCGCAAGUGACGGUAGGUACAGAAGAAGCACCGGCCAACUACGG